UGAGGAAUAUUGGUCAAUGGGCGAGAGCCUGAACCAGCCAAGUAGCGUGCAGGAAGACGGCCCUAUGGGUUGUAAACUGCUUUUAUAGGGGAAUAAAGUGGACUACGUGUAGUUUAUUGUAUGUACCCUAUGAAUAAGGACCGGCUAAUUCCGUGCCAGCAGCCGCGGUAAUACGGAAGGUUCGGGCGUUAUCCGGAUUUAUUGGGUUUAAAGGGAGCGUAGGCCGUAGAUUAAGCGUGUUGUGAAAUGUAGAUGCUCAACAUCUGACUUGCAGCGCGAACUGGUUUACUAGAGUGUGCGCAACGUAGGCGGAAUUCGUCGUGUAGCGGUGAAAUGCUUAGAUAUGACGAAGAACUCCGAUUGCGAAGGCAGCUUACGGGAGCACAACUGACGCUGAAGCUUGAAGGUGCGGGUAUCAAACAGGAUUAGAUACCCUGGUAGUCCGCACAGUAAACGCUGGAUGCCCGCUGUUGGCUCAUUAGAGUCAGCGGCCAAGCGAAAGCAUUAAGCAUCCCACCUGGGGAGUACGCCGGCAACGGU
Molecule: ribosomal RNA, 540 nt
Filed under: uncultured bacterium
Lineage: Bacteria
Description: bacterial SSU rRNA
Rfam family: Bacterial small subunit ribosomal RNA
Source: RNAcentral